RNAcentral lists this ribosomal RNA (467 nucleotides) under uncultured bacterium. RNAcentral's name for it is "partial 16S ribosomal RNA". It matches the Rfam family "Bacterial small subunit ribosomal RNA", at positions 29 to 507 of the family's 1533-position model. The record is from RNAcentral.
ACGCACGCUGGCGGCGUGCUUAACACAUGCAAGUCGAACGGAAAGGCCCUGCUUUUGUGGGGUGCUCGAGUGGCGAACGGGUGAGUAACACGUGAGUAACCUGCCCUUGACUUUGGGAUAACUUCAGGAAACUGGGGCUAAUACCGGAUAGGAGCUCCUGCUGCAUGGUGGGGGUUGGAAAGUUUCGGCGGUUGGGGAUGGACUCGCGGCUUAUCAGCUUGUUGGUGGGGUAGUGGCUUACCAAGGCUUUGACGGGUAGCCGGCCUGAGAGGGUGACCGGCCACAUUGGGACUGAGAUACGGCCCAGACUCCCACGGGAGGCAGCAGUGGGGAAUAUUGCACAAUGGGCGGAAGCCUGAUGCAGCAACGCCGCGUGCGGGAUGACGGCCUUCGGGUUGUAAACCGCUUUCGCCUGUGACGAAGCGUGAGUGACGGUAAUGGGUAAAGAAGCACCGGCUAACUACGUG